This is a long non-coding RNA of Triticum aestivum (bread wheat), 3636 nucleotides long. RefSeq lists it as uncharacterized. NCBI's taxonomy places the organism in Eukaryota, Viridiplantae, Streptophyta, Magnoliopsida, Poales, Poaceae. The record is from RefSeq and is a predicted model, not a curated record. The transcript is spliced from 2 exons.
UCCUCUUCCUCUAUUCCCAUCGUUCCCCUCUCAUUUUCCUCAUCUUCAUUCGCCAACGCAACUGUGUCCACGGGAGACGCUGGAGACGAUGCACAGCCGGGUCCUGCUGCAAAGCUUCCGUCGUCCGGGCACUCCGAUGCUGCCGGAGAAGGCACUGUCGUGCUCGCUGUGCAAGCUACGGGUUUUGCAAGGCAGGGGCUCACCGCUGCUAGCCAGCACGAGCUGCUCGAAGGGCUGGGCAACAACACUGGUGACACCGUGUGUCACAACAGCCCCGACCUUUUUUUGUAAGGUGACCAGAAACAUUGGUUGCUACAGCUUGAGGAGUGUAGUUGGUGCUCCAAGCCGACUACCUGCGGCUCUCCGUAGUUACUCACGCGACGCGGGAGUGCUAUUUUGGUUGCUGGAGACGCUGUGCAUGUGGGGAUGGAAGUGAUCUUGUGGUUCUGUCAUCAGCGAAUCUAAUGGCCCAAAUCAUACUGUAUUGACGAAUUUUCUAUUCCUCAAGGGGCUGUCGUCCUCUUGCUGAUUGGAUUUUGCUUCUUCCUUCUGUUCCCUUCCUCUGGUUCGUUGAUGCCUCAAGCAACCACUGCCGAUUGUGUGCUUAUCGGAUAUCUGUAGUUGUUCCUUCAUAGCCUCCCAUUGAGUUUAUUUCGUUUCUUCCUCUGCUUGUACGACCGCGCCUUCCCACUUCAGCAGCCCGCCACCCCGGCUUUCCUACCUUCGACCGCGUCUGAAGAGGAGCUGUAGCUAUGCCACGAGCAGGCCAUCCCAGCAGCUGUCGCUGCCCCUCUGUCCUCUCUCUCAGCUUUUUCCUUCUCCUUCUCUCUGUCACUAAUCUUUGUUUUCUAUAUGGAAGGAAGUCGCCAUGGAACGAUCCCCGCUGCCUUGGAGCUCGCCCCGCGUUCGGCCCACCACCUCUCUGUCGGCCUCGACCUCCUCCGCCUCGAUCCGUCCGCCCCGCCGCCGGAUCCACGCCGGAGCUGCCGUGUCCGCCGCCCAGACCACCAAUCAAGAGUCACCUCUUGCAUGUCGUGCGGUCGGGAGGAGGGCGACCGAGAGGAGCACCCAUUCAUCUGCCGCAUGGGCCGCCUUGGAGCUCGCCUUGCCUUCGGGCCGCCACCUCUCCGUCGGCCUCGUGCUCCUCCGCCUCGAUCCAUCCGCCACACCGCCGGAUCCGCCGCCCAGAUCACCAACCAAGUGCCGCCUCUUGCCUGUCCUGUGACCUGGUCAAAUAACAAAACUGCAGGGUCCUUUUUGUAAGAACGAAUCGUUUUUUGGGAUUAGCCACUUUAAAAUAGGACCGCGGGUGAAUUUCAGAAAUAGAGAGACCUUUUUAUAAAGUUGUCGCGACGACGUACGACCAGAAACAGUAUGUGCUAUAUAUAUAUUCUAUUCUAAUCCCAGGAUUAGAAUAGUUAUUCUGAUCACGGACGGCUCUAUAUAAGGCGCGCGGAGGUCCUCCGGAACCCGAGGAGGAAAAAGAAAGAACACUCCCACUAGUCCACCGCCCCCUCCCCGAUCCCCAACCUCCCCCGAUCCAGCGCCAUCUAGCUCUCGUCCCCUGCAACAACCGCCGCGCGGCCGACCCACCUUCCGACCACCGCCGCGGCACCAUCCCAACCGACGCGCCGCCGUCCCGGCUCCUCACCACCUCCCCUUGAAGCGCCGCUCCGCCUCCCACCUGGAUCCCCCUCGCUCUGGAUCCCGUCUAGUCCCGCCUCCGCGCUUCGCCCCACUCGCAGCGGCGCCGCCGCCCUCGCCGAGCACCGUGCCACCGAAGCCACACGAGCUCGCGGUCUACUGAGCCUGAGAUGGCAUCGGCCGCCGCCGCGGCCGGUCAUCGGAGGCCUCCGGGGCCGACGCACCCUGAACCACCAGCACGCGCCAUGGAUGCCCACACCAACGAAAGUCCGCACAGGAGGGCCUGGUAGCAGCACCUUCAAUGGGGAUUGGGCGCUACCUGCAGCUGAAGGAGGCAUCAGCCUGCAGCUGGUGGGAGCAUCGACCUGCAGCUCGCCGCGCACACCACUGCGACCCACUACCACCGCGGCCCACCACCUACAGCCGGCGCCGUAGCACCUAGGCCAUUCAACUAUGCCACUCAGGCCGUUCAACCCCCACACCGUGCUCCUCGUGGAUGACCCCCGUCAUCAUUGACUCCAUUCACUUCCUUCCGCUGUAUGCGGCCAGCUCUAUGAGGUACUCGCCUGUACUCUGUCUAGGGGAACGUUGUGAGCUCGUCAGGCUAUGGCUGCUUCUCUGCUGGUAUAUACUUCUCUGUUGUUCAUCUUAGUAGAUGUUAAAAAAAGAAUCCUUAACAAUUGGGUCUGCAUCUGCAUUAAAGAGAGUCCCUUCAGAGUUUUGAUUCGUUAGUUCAUUUCAUAUCAUUUAAAAAGAAUUAACCGUGUAGAAUGUGAGGAAUUGAGAUUAGAGUUCAUUUUUUUCCUGAAAAAAUAGGACAUUUUUUAUCUCAGCAUGCUUACCAUAUUUACAGAGAAUAGACAAUGUUUUACCAUGUUUCUUGGUUAUCAAAAUAAGUGUUCUCCAUCGUUUUCAUGAAUGGCUUAAAUGAUGAAAAACAUGUUGUACUCCCUUCCGGUGCUAUGUGUGUGGAAGAUCAUCUCUGUGCCUCACCUGUCUUGUUCUUCUGCUCUCUAAGAUACUAUCUUAAGCUUGUAUAGCUUGUCAGACCAAAUAAAAAACGUACUAAUCUGAAGUUCAAAGAUGAUAAAAAAAGAAGAUGUGGGGAUCUAGGAUCUAGUGGUUUCCAGUAAGGUAAGUUGAAGCAAAAAUUCUGCUUUGAUUUCAAAGUUGUGAAGUAUCAGACUAGAACAUUUGUUAUCUCAUAAUGCAUAGUUGCAUACAGUAAGUUACAACACGCCUCUGAACAUUACUUUCUCAGCCGCAGCCAUGGGCCUUUGCCCUGAUGUACAGACUCGGAUGACCUCCCGGCACUGUACCUCCGGCCUGCGACCUCCCCUUCUACCACGUCUCCACCGCCCACCACCGCUGCUACCUCCCGGUCAUAUGAAACGGGGGUGCCGCAGUCUAAAUUGUGCCACACCAGCAGGACGGCUCGUCCAGGAUCCUCUGUGCCACUCUGCUGCUCGCUACAUACAUGAACAGAGGGAGGGAGAAGUUCACUACAUGGCAGCCGAGAAGGUCACACAUGAGGUGCAGGGGACAUGGGUGUCGCCUUUCGGAAGAUGGUCUGAGUUCAUGAAGAUGGUCUGCGUUCGUGAGAAUUAGUGUUGUUGCUGGGAUGUAGUGUUGCUUCUUGUGAGGCCGCGUCCAGCCAGUAUCCUCCUCUUCCUGGGCGUCCGCCUCUGCAUCCCCGUGGAACUUCUCUAUCCAUCCAGCAAAAAAAGAGCUCCCUCCUGUAGUUCUUUGCAUCUACUAUAGAAAAAAUGCAUUUGCCGUAGAAGUUCAGUAAUAGCUAGAAAGGAACAACUAUAGUACUCUCUAUGCAUGUGUUGUGUUUGGAGAGGCACAGUUUAAAUUUUGAUUUUGGGCUUGGAUGUACGAGGUGUAUGACGAAGGUGAUACAGUGAAGUGAAGUCCAUUUGGAUAUGUGAAAUUUCGUGAGGCAUAAGAAGGGAAUAAGAUCGUUACUUUAUUUGGCCCCCAUUUGUA